This 487-nucleotide ribosomal RNA is filed under the name uncultured Polaribacter sp. RNAcentral's name for it is "bacterial SSU rRNA". It matches the Rfam family "Bacterial small subunit ribosomal RNA", at positions 37 to 524 of the family's 1533-position model. Lineage: Bacteria; Pseudomonadati; Bacteroidota; Flavobacteriia; Flavobacteriales; Flavobacteriaceae. The record is from RNAcentral.
UAUCGGGGGGCUUAACAUGCAGUCGAGGGGUAACAUUGUGCUUGCACAGAUGACGACCGGCGCACGGGUGCGUAACGCGUAUAGAACCUACCUUUUACAGAGGAAUAGCCUUUAGAAAUGAAGAUUAAUGCCUCAUAGUAUUGAGUAAUCGCAUGAUUAUUUAAUUAAAGAUUUAUCGGUAAAAGAUGGCUAUGCGUCCUAUUAGUUAGUUGGUAAGGUAACGGCUUACCAAGACAUCGAUAGGUAGGGGUCCUGAGAGGGAGAUCCCCCACACUGGUACUGAGACACGGACCAGACUCCUACGGGAGGCAGCAGUGAGGAAUAUUGGACAAUGGAGGAGACUCUGAUCCAGCCAUGCCGCGUGUAGGAAGAAUGCCCUAUGGGUUGUAAACUACUUUUAUACAGGAAGAAACACUGGUAUGUAUACCAGCUUGACGGUACUGUAAGAAUAAGGACCGGCUAACUCCGUGCCAGCAGCCGCGGUAAC